This 488-nucleotide ribosomal RNA is filed under the name uncultured bacterium. RNAcentral describes it as "bacterial SSU rRNA". It matches the Rfam family "Bacterial small subunit ribosomal RNA", at positions 28 to 507 of the family's 1533-position model. The record is from RNAcentral.
GCGAGAGACGCUGGCGGCGUGGAUUAGGCAUGCAAGUCGAACGGUAUCAUCCUUUCGGGGGUGAGAGAGUGGCGAACUGGUGAGUAACACGUAGGUUAUCUACCCUCAAGACGGGACAACCCAGGGAAACUUGGGCUAAUACCGGAUGUGAGCAACUUUUAGUUGUUUGAAAGGUGGCGUAAGCUGUCGCUUGGGGAUGAGCCUGCGUCCUAUUAGUUAGUUGGUGAGGUAACGGCUCACCUAGGCAAUGAUAGGUAGGCGGCCUUAACGGGUGGUCGCCCACACUGGGAUUGAGAUACGGCCCAGACUCCUACGGGAGGCAGCAGUCGAGAAUAGUCUACAAUGGUCGGAAGACUGAUAGUGCGACGCCGCGUGAACGAUGAAUCCCUUCGGGGUGUAAAGUUCUUUUAUAUGUGAGCAGUGCUUCUUAUAUUAACAGUAUGGGGAGAGAGAUAUUAGCAUAUGAAUAAGCAACGGCUAACUCCGUG